GGGGGAUGUAGCUCAGCCGGGAGAGCGCCUGCCUUGCACGCAGGAGGUCAGCGGUUCGAUCCCGCUCAUCUCCACC
Molecule: transfer RNA, 76 nt
Filed under: Leptospirillum sp. LA
Lineage: Bacteria; Pseudomonadati; Nitrospirota; Nitrospiria; Nitrospirales; Nitrospiraceae
Description: transfer RNA-Ala
Rfam family: tRNA
About the family: Transfer RNA (tRNA) molecules are approximately 80 nucleotides in length. Their secondary structure includes four short double-helical elements and three loops (D, anti-codon, and T loops). Further hydrogen bonds mediate the characteristic L-shaped molecular structure. tRNAs have two regions of fundamental functional importance: the anti-codon, which is responsible for specific mRNA codon recognition, and the 3' end, to which the tRNAs corresponding amino acid is attached (by aminoacyl-tRNA synthetases). tRNAs cope with the degeneracy of the genetic code in two manners: having more than one tRNA (with a specific anti-codon) for a particular amino acid; and 'wobble' base-pairing, i.e. permitting non-standard base-pairing at the 3rd anti-codon position.
Source: RNAcentral